AGGAAGCCGGCAGCGUAGCCUAUUUGACAGUCCGCCAGAGCCGUAGAUCGGCCCCUUUCUCUCCGCAGAAUUACAGGUUCUUAAAAGGGUCAGGCGGUCAUACACCAGCAGCGGUGACACAUUUCGAGUGACAAGUCUAGUAGGAACGGGGGAAAUCAACCACAAGCUCAGCAAAGAGCUUGCGGAGGACAUUACUUCUCAAAACAUAUGAGACCAUCAAAUCUACUCCAGAGAGCAUUGCAGCUACCCCCACAAAGCUCUGUCUCAUUCAGAUACAUAUUAGGGAACAGCAGAGAGCAGUGUGCACGAGGACCUGAAAAUGCCCUGAGGAUCUAUGGUUGCCACGAACCAGAUGCAGUGGAGCGAGAGAGAGACCCAGUGCUUAAAUCUCUGCAAUCUGGCCAGAGCAUGCAGCUUUGUACUCGGGGUGACAUGCGUGCUGAAUCUCCAGUAUCCAUGCAAAGUUUGAGAACUCAAGAGGUAUUCCAAAGACUGUGUACUUGAUGCACUGCGCCCAAAACAAACUUCCAAGUUCAUAAGCCUCAAAAACAUGCUUCUUGCAGUGAAAUAUGAUUGUUGGGCUGACUCACUGAAAUAUCUUACUGGGACACUUGAUGGAAUUGAGCCAUCAUUAAGGUUAUCAAUUUCAGCUGUGUUUUUCCUACUAUGACAGGUCAAAAUGUCUGCUGUAAAAAAAGGUCCAUUAACCCAAAUAAACCCAGAAUUGAUAAGUGUGUGAGAGAUGUUUGCACAAGGGAGGUGGUGAUGACUCUCACCUGUGUCAGUAGGAUCACGCUGGGAUAAAAGUGCGUGUUGAACAGCCGGACAAUCCGUGGGGACGGAUUUUAAACUGUGGGUACAGAUUGUCAAUUUAAAAAUUUGCACAUACAAAUAAAUAUCUUCCUGAAUUCACAAAUUCUUAAUUAUUGCAGGGACUGCAGAAGAUCCCAUUUUUAAAUAACUAUAACCCAGAAACAGGAGAAAUGAUUGAUAAUCUUAGUGUGCAGCAAUAAAGUUUUUCCUGCUCUGAUAAACAAAUGAGUGAAAAAACAGAUUGCCCUGCUCUGCCUCUGAUUGGCUAGUACUCAUUGCCAUGUGGGUCAGAGCCAAUUAGAAGCAGUAAAACACUCUGCUGUCUCCUGUGUGUAUGGGGAAAGGGGAGGGACAGAGGCAAUGGGCAAGACAAACUCGUACAUUUAAAUAACAUAUAGAAAAUAUCAGCUUGACAACUUAUUAUGGAGCUGGGAACAAGCCCAAAUAAGCAACUACACUUUAGAAACAAGCCCAAAACAAAACGCGACCCACGACUACCAAUAUUUGUAAGCUACUUUACAGAAAAACAAGCCCAAAGUCGCUUAUCAUAAGCGGACUUGGCAACACUGGAUGCAAUAACAUGUUUAGCCAUUACCAAUCACCCCCUCUAUUGAAGGCUUUAACCUAAAACUAUCUUCAGCUCUAAAAAGAAAAAACACUCUCCUCUUUAAAUUUACAAUCAUCAUUGUCACUUUAUUAUGUCAAAUGGGAAAAUUCAUCUGCAGUCAGGAGUGCAAGAUUAAAAAAAAAACACAUACAAAUGUACAAAUUACAAGACAAACACAAAAGUAUUGUACAGUAUUUGUUGUUUGUACAUGCUGUCUGUGUUUAUUCGUUUUUACUAUGGCUGCAGCAUGGUUUGAGUGCCCAACACAAAUUCCUUCACGUUGUGGGACAAUAAAGUUAAUCUUGAAUCUUGAAAAUAACGUUAUCUGUACGUAAUAUUUAUUGUACAUCACAAUUUUACACCACAGGAGCAAUAUUUACAAAACUUUGACUUCACA
Molecule: long non-coding RNA, 1817 nt
Organism: Perca flavescens (yellow perch)
Lineage: Eukaryota; Metazoa; Chordata; Actinopteri; Perciformes; Percidae
Exons: 4
Source: RefSeq, a predicted model, not a curated record